RNAcentral lists this ribosomal RNA (542 nucleotides) under uncultured bacterium. RNAcentral describes it as "bacterial SSU rRNA". It matches the Rfam family "Bacterial small subunit ribosomal RNA", at positions 356 to 896 of the family's 1533-position model. The record is from RNAcentral.
GAGGAAUAUUGGUCAAUGGGCGAGAGCCUGAACCAGCCAAGUCGCGUGAAGGAAGACAGUCCUAAGGAUUGUAAACUUCUUUUAUACGGGAAUAACGGGCGAUACGAGUAUUGCAUUGAAUGUACCGUAAGAAUAAGCAUCGGCUAACUCCGUGCCAGCAGCCGCGGUAAUACGGAGGAUGCGAGCGUUAUCCGGAUUUAUUGGGUUUAAAGGGUGCGUAGGUUGUUCGGUAAGUCAGCGGUGAAACCUGAGCGCUCAACGUUCAGCCUGCCGUUGAAACUGCCGGGCUUGAGUUCAGUGGCGGCAGGCGGAAUUCGUGGUGUAGCGGUGAAAUGCAUAGAUAUCACGAGGAACUCCGAUUGCGAAGGCAGCUUGCCAUACUGCGACUGACACUGAAGCACGGAGGCGUGGGUAUCAAACAGGAUUAGAUACCCUGGUAGUCCACGCAGUAAACGAUGAUUACUAGGAGUUUGCGAUAUACCGUCAAGCUUCCACAGCGAAAGCGUUAAGUAAUCCACCUGGGGAGUACGCCGGCAACGGUG